UGUGAGCGUAUACCAAAGUUGUUGCAGUUAAAACGCUCGUAGUCGGAAUUUGGCAGUUCCGGAAGUGUGCACGUCGUGUGCGCACUUUGCGGGGACUGCUUUUGUGGUCUUGCGUAGGAUGAGGCACUUUCAUUAGUGAACGUCCUCACGCAACCACUCUUUACUGUGAGAAAAUCAGAGUGCUCAAAGCAGGCAUUUGCCGUGAAUGUAUUAGCAUGGAAUAAUAGAAUAGGACUCGGUUCUAUUUUGUUGGUUUGUUGGGACUGAGUAAUGAUUAAGAGGGACAGUUGGGGGCAUUUGUAUUCCGGCGCUAGAGGUGAAAUUCUUAGAUUGCCGGAAGACAAACUGCUGCGAAAGCGUCUGCCAAGGAUGUUUUCAUUGA
Molecule: ribosomal RNA, 382 nt
Filed under: uncultured eukaryote
Lineage: Eukaryota
Description: partial 18S ribosomal RNA
Rfam family: Eukaryotic small subunit ribosomal RNA
Source: RNAcentral